Molecule: ribosomal RNA, 912 nt
Filed under: uncultured Bacteroidota bacterium
Lineage: Bacteria; Pseudomonadati; Bacteroidota
Description: bacterial SSU rRNA
Rfam family: Bacterial small subunit ribosomal RNA
Source: RNAcentral
UUUGAUUAUGGCUCAGGAUGAACGCUAGCUACAGGCUUAACACAUGCAAGUCGAGGGGCAGCAUGGUCUUAGCUUGCUAAGGCCGAUGGCGACCGGCGCACGGGUGAGUAACACGUAUCCAACCUGCCGUCUACUCUUGGACAGCCUUCUGAAAGGAAGAUUAAUACAAGAUGGCAUCAUGAGUCCGCAUGUUCACAUGAUUAAAGGUAUUCCGGUAGACGAUGGGGAUGCGUUCCAUUAGAUAGUAGGCGGGGUAACGGCCCACCCAGUCUUCGAUGGAUAGGGGUUCUGAGAGGAAGGUCCCCCACAUUGGAACUGAGACACGGUCCAAACUCCUACGGGAGGCAGCGGUGAGGAAUAUUGGUCAAUGGGCGAGAGCCUGAACCAGCCAAGUAGCGUGAAGGAUGACUGCCCUAUGGGUUGUAAACUUCUUUUAUAAAGGAAUAAAGUCGGGUAUGGAUACCCGUUUGCAUGUACUUUAUGAAUAAGGAUCGGCUAACUCCGUGCCAGCAGCCGCGGUAAUACGGAGGAUCCGAGCGUUAUCCGGAUUUAUUGGGUUUAAAGGGAGCGUAGAUGGAUGUUUAAGUCAGUUGUGAAAGUUUGCGGCUCAACCGUAAAAUUGCAGUUGAUACUGGAUAUCUUGAGUGCAGUUGAGGCAGGCGGAAUUCGUGGUGUAGCGGUGAAAUGCUUAGAUAUCACGAAGAACUCCGAUUGCGAAGGCAGCCUGCUAAGCUGCAACUGACAUUGAGGCUCGAAAGUGUGGGUAUCAAACAGGAUUAGAUACCCUGGUAGUCCACACGGUAAACGAUGAAUACUCGCUGUUUGCGAUAUACAGCAAGCGGCCAAGCGAAAGCGUUAAGUAUUCCACCUGGGGAGUACGCCGGCAACGGUGCAACUCAAAUGAAUUGACGG